Molecule: small nuclear RNA, 301 nt
Filed under: Peromyscus maniculatus bairdii (prairie deer mouse)
Lineage: Eukaryota; Metazoa; Chordata; Mammalia; Rodentia; Cricetidae
Description: 7SK RNA (ENSPEMG00000002592.2)
Rfam family: 7SK RNA
About the family: 7SK was discovered as an abundant small nuclear RNA in the mid-70s but a possible function has only recently been suggested. Two independent studies have found that 7SK RNA binds the CDK9/cyclin T complex (known as elongation factor P-TEFb).
Source: Rfam by way of RNAcentral
UAACGUGAGGUGUUUGGACUACGACAUUAGUCGCCCCAUGGUUUUCAAGGGUUGAUUGAGCUGAUCUAGCUGGGUAGGCAGAUGUCCCCUUUCUCCAUCAUCAUUCUGUGUACAUCCUUCCAAAUCAUUGAGCUCUGUCAACGACUCCCUGCCCCCUACUACAAAGGAAGACUGUGACUCAGCUAGGUGUAUACAAGAUGCUUCCCUCGCUUGCUAGAACCUCUUAGACAAGCUUUCAAGAGAACAGUUUUCUUCAUUUUCUAAAUGGACAGGGUGACCUUGCAAAUCAAGGAGUAUUCUU